UGAGCAACCUGCCCUUGACUCUGGAAUAACAGCUGGAAACAGCUGCUAAUACCGGAUAUGACCUCUUCCGACAUCGGGCGAGGUGGAAAGCUCCGGCGGUCAAGGAUGGGCUCGCGGCCUAUCAGCUAGUUGGUGAGGUAACGCUCACCAAGGCUUCGACGAGUAGCCGGCCUGAGAGGGCGACCGGCCACACUGGGACUGAGACACGGCCCAGACCUCCGUAGGGAGG
RNAcentral lists this ribosomal RNA (229 nucleotides) under uncultured bacterium. RNAcentral describes it as "partial 16S ribosomal RNA". It matches the Rfam family "Bacterial small subunit ribosomal RNA", at positions 118 to 347 of the family's 1533-position model. The record is from RNAcentral.